UACGUAGGGUGCAAGCGUUGUCCGGAAUUAUUGGGCGUAAAGAGCUCGUAGGCGGUCUGUCGCGUCGGCUGUGAAAUCCCGGAGCUCAACUCCGGGUCUGCAGUCGAUACGGGCAAACUGGAGUACUGCAGGGGAGACUGGAAUUACUGGUGUAGCGGUGAAAUGCGCAGAUAUCAGGAGGAACACCGGUGGCGAAGGCGGGUCUCUGGGCAGUAACUGACGCUGAGGAGCGAAAGCGUGGGGAGCGAACAGG
This 253-nucleotide ribosomal RNA is filed under the name uncultured bacterium. RNAcentral describes it as "partial 16S ribosomal RNA". It matches the Rfam family "Bacterial small subunit ribosomal RNA", at positions 524 to 776 of the family's 1533-position model. The record is from RNAcentral.